This 526-nucleotide long non-coding RNA is filed under the name Helianthus annuus (common sunflower). Its description in RNAcentral is "hypothetical non coding rna". Lineage: Eukaryota; Viridiplantae; Streptophyta; Magnoliopsida; Asterales; Asteraceae. The record is from RNAcentral.
CCAUAAAAUUCAAAAUUCCGGAUAUUUUAACUUUCUCCACAAGAUACCGAUCCAGAUCUUCAACAACGAUCACCGAUCGUCUCGUUGUUUGCAACAGAAGCACUUUCAGAUCUGAAUCGUCUGAAACUUUCGACAGGUCGACGUCGUAGAUAUCGUAGCGUAAAAACUUCGCCAUUCCGGCGAUGAAGCUCGAUUUUCCGAUCCGAAUCGAUCACCGACGUAUCGAUCGUCGCCGGAUGACUGAACGGAACGGUUAUCCACCGGCGGUUUUCCGGUGAACUCACGGCGUUGAUGUGCAGCUGGAUUUGUUGCGUUUUCUGCUCGGUGACGUUGUGAAUGUGUUGAAGAUACGAAGAGAGGAUUCUUCGUUUCUCUUUACGUCUGAUUUUCAACAGUAAACAAUCGGUUUCGAACGUCCAGAAGAUUCGCGAACCGAGGAGUUUGAUGAUGAUGAUGAUGAUGAUGCACGGAAUCUAGUAGGAUGCCUAGAAACGCACCUUAAUCUUUAAUACUUGUUGUAUUUAUU